Molecule: ribosomal RNA, 270 nt
Filed under: uncultured bacterium
Lineage: Bacteria
Description: partial 16S ribosomal RNA
Rfam family: Bacterial small subunit ribosomal RNA
Source: RNAcentral
AACGAACGCUGGCGGCAUGCCUAACACAUGCAAGUCGAACGCCUGUAGCAAUACAGGAGUGGCGCACGGGUGAGUAACGCGUGGGAACCUGCCCUUGGGUGAGGGAUAACCCGGCGAAAGCCGGGCUAAUACCGCAUACGCCCCGACGUCGUGGAGAUGUCGGGGGAAAGAUUUAUCGCCCAUGGAGGGGCCCGCGUCGGAUUAGCUAGUUGGUGAGGUAACGGCUCACCAAGGCGAUGAUCCGUAGCUGGUCUGAGAGGAUGAUCAGCC